AUUGAACGCUGGCGGCAUGCUUUACACAUGCAAGUAGUACGAGUGGCGGACGGGUGAGUAACGCAUCGGAACGUAACGAGUAAUGGGGGAUAACUAUCCGCAAGGACAGCUAAUACCGCAUAUUAUUCGAGCGGCCGAUGUGGGAUUAGCUGGUUGGCGGGGUAAAGGCCCACCAAGGCGAAGAUCAGUAGCGGGUCUGAGAGGAUGAUUCGCCACAAUGGUACUGAGACACGGCCCAGACUCCUACGGGAGGCAGCAGUGGGGAAUUUUGGACAAUGGGCGCAAGCCUGAUCCAGCCAUGCCGCGUGUCUGAAGAAGGCCUUCGGGUUGUAAAGGACUUUCGUCAGGGAAGCGGUACCUGAAGAAUAAGCACCGGCUAACUACGUGCCAGCAGCCGCGGUAAUAC
RNAcentral lists this ribosomal RNA (406 nucleotides) under uncultured bacterium. Its description in RNAcentral is "partial 16S ribosomal RNA". It matches the Rfam family "Bacterial small subunit ribosomal RNA", at positions 30 to 526 of the family's 1533-position model. The record is from RNAcentral.